GUGAAAUUGAAAUUUGAAAUGUGACCCAGAAAUGGAAAGCGGAUAUAUAUUUUGAGGAGAUCUGUUUUGGAUAUAAACAGAUCUGAUUCCAUCUGAAUAUCGAAGAAUUUGGAGAAAAUUGGAAAUGGGAUUAUGAUUGCGCCAUUCGAGGACUGCUCAAUAGAUGAAGAAAAAAGAUAGAGUGAAGAAGAAGAUCAAGAAGAUGAUGAUGAUGAUGAUGAUGAUCGGAAAGAUCUAACCUCCGACAUCAAUGAACAAUUUUAAUAAUUGUUAUUUAAUAUCUGGUGUGAAUAAUUUUAUGGUGGUGGUGGUGAAGAGAGAGCGAUGUCGUUUUGUGUAUGGUUGAGAAAUAUGAUCAAUUUUAGAAUUUAAUUUCCCUUUUAUUUAUAUCUCAUCAUUUUCUAUUUAUAUUAAAAUAAAUAUCUAUUUUAGAUAAG
This 437-nucleotide long non-coding RNA is filed under the name Cucumis sativus (cucumber). RNAcentral describes it as "long non-coding RNA (CSAT_LNC000652)". The record is from RNAcentral. Lineage: Eukaryota; Viridiplantae; Streptophyta; Magnoliopsida; Cucurbitales; Cucurbitaceae.